This 339-nucleotide unclassified non-coding RNA is filed under the name soil metagenome. RNAcentral describes it as "partial contains 5.8S ribosomal RNA, internal transcribed spacer 2, and large subunit ribosomal RNA". The stretch from base 1 to 121 matches the Rfam family "5.8S ribosomal RNA", at positions 35 to 154 of the family's 154-position model. The record is from RNAcentral.
GAUGAAGAACGCAGUGAAAUGCGAUAAGUAAUGUGAAUUGCAGAAUUCAGUGAAUCAUCGAAUCUUUGAACGCACCUUGCGCCCCUUGGUUAUUCCAAAGGGCAUGCCUGUCUGAGCGUCAUUUCAACCCUCAAGCAACUUCUGCUUGGUGUUGGGGAUCGGCCGUCAAACGCCGCCCCCGAAAUCUAUUGGCGAUCUCGCUGUAGCUUCCUAUGCGUAGUAGUAACAUCUCGCAUCUGGAGAGCGGCGCGGUCAUGCCGUAAAACACCCAACUUCUCAGGUUGACCUCAGAUCAGGUAGGAAUACCCGCUGAACUUAAGCAUAUCAAUAAGCGGAGGA